This 1756-nucleotide long non-coding RNA is filed under the name Capra hircus (goat). RNAcentral describes it as "lncRNA (ENSCHIG00000007382.1)". The record is from RNAcentral. Lineage: Eukaryota; Metazoa; Chordata; Mammalia; Artiodactyla; Bovidae.
GGAGUGGAGAGGUUCCCACACUGAUCAGACCCUGCUAGUUUUAUUGCGGUUGGAAAAGGUCACUGAGAGGAUAAGACUUCCGAUUGACCUGAAAGCUGGACCCAGCCAAUCACAGGCUCCUCAGCCCCACCUUCAUCCUUGAAAUCAACUUUCUAUCCACUAUUUACACAGCAGGCUUUAUUUUCAAGAAUGCAGUCUUGAGAGAGCAAGGUGGUGUUGAGACCAUCUGGAUAGCAUAUGUGCCUGAACCCAGUAAAGGUCUCUGUACAGACUUCUAAGAUUCUGGCAAGUGGCCAUGGAGGUCUACUCAUAGGUAGAAACCUCAUAGCCAUUUCGUAGAGUGACGUUUUCUGUUGUGAGUCAGCCUCAGGACCCACAUCAGGGGUCACUGCAGAGUUGCUAUGACAGCGGGCUGGAGGAGUCAGAAACACCAAGCAGUAAGAGUUCAUCAGGGCCAAGACUGGGUGCCCUUCCACUCCCAGAGGACAACUAUGAAAGGACCACGCCGGAUGGCAGUGUUGGUGAGGCAGAGCAUAUGGAAAAUGGUGCCGCACCAUUCCAAGGAACUGCAGGUACUAAAACAAUGGGCAGUAUUCUUGAAGGCACAGCACACUGAGCUCUACCUUCUCCUCCUGCCUACCCUCAGGCAAUGUUUUGGAGGCCAUUCAAUGAGUUAGAUAUCUGUGGCCAAGCUAAGGAAGUAAAAAAGGAGUAGCUAGUGACUGAAUGAGGGCACUGUAUAUUUUCCACAUAUUACCCAUCAUCUGACUAUAAAAAGAAAGGUUUGAUAUAAAAAAGAUGGAAAGAGAUUGAGAGAGAUGGAACAAUCAUUACCUUAUAAAUUAUCAAGAGUUUUUCUUCAGGAUGUGACUAGCAAAAAUAUUUUAGAAUGAAUGCUCAUACUGUCAGUUUUCUUAAAAGUUUCUCGAUAGUGUAUGUGGUAUGUGAACAUAUAAUACAGUGAUUAACUAGGUUAGAAUGUUGGUAAUAGAGAUUACUAGGCUGAUGAUUAUAAAAUUAAUUAUACUGAGGAUAAAUACUAAGCACUAGUUGGUUGAUUCUUUUUAAACCUAGAAUUUUUUGUGUAAUGUAGUUUUAAAUAAGAUCAAGCAUUCUGCUGUUUCACAACGGUGGACAUUCACAACUUGUAUACUUAGGGAGGAAAAAUUAUGAUUUUGCAUAAAUAUUUUUAACCUCCAUGUGUGAAAGAAAAAGAUUCUGAUUCUUUCCAAUCAGUGCCUCUGAAAAAUCAAUCUUCUUUUUCAAAUUAGUCACAAAUUUAUUUUGUGAAUGUGUUCUUUAUAUGCAAUGCAAAGUUUCAAAAGAAUUUAAGUCAAUCUACCAUUGGCAAAGCCUUAUCAAAUAGACAUUAAAUAGACAAGCAAACCACUAAUAAAUUCCAACAGCCUUAUAAAAGUUGGUGAAUGCUACUGCGAUUGUAAAGAUCAUUAGUGCUAUUAAAAAUGGUGAUGCCAUUGAUACUAGUCUUUAUCAUUGAAACUAUUUUCAAGGGCUAAAAAUGGGGGAAAGCGUAAACUGAGCUCACUUCUUAAUAAGUUCACAAUUGAAAUUACUGUCUUGUUCAACCUCCCAUUUUGAAAAUGUAAACUUGUUUAUAAGUCACUUAUGGAAUUGUUAAACAUAAGAGCCCAUCUCCUUGUUUUCAUACUGAUUAUAGAAAACAAUCUAAAAUUCUUUAUAUAUAUAAUGAAAAUAAUCAGAGUUGACUAUAGUAAGUACAGAUGACAAUUUAUUU